AGCCCCCUGUAUUCGUGCUGAGAUUUCGUCAGAGAUCAACCCGCGUUGGAUGAUGGUACUUCCCAAAUAAGUGAAGCG
RNAcentral lists this microRNA precursor (78 nucleotides) under Trichobilharzia regenti. Its description in RNAcentral is "mir-3492 microRNA precursor family". It matches the Rfam family "mir-3492 microRNA precursor family". Lineage: Eukaryota; Metazoa; Platyhelminthes; Trematoda; Strigeidida; Schistosomatidae. The record is from Rfam by way of RNAcentral.